Non-coding RNA from Pelobates cultripes (western spadefoot toad), 358 nucleotides. Lineage: Eukaryota; Metazoa; Chordata; Amphibia; Anura; Pelobatidae. The record is from the annotation of a GenBank genome assembly.
GCUGUCUCCAUAUUCCUUUAUUACCGUCAGUAGGUUUGGCAUUGAAAUCAGUGGUUGCGUUAGGGUCAGGAGCACGUCGUCCGCGAAUAGAUUGGCUUUGUAUUCCUUUUCCCCAAUGCGUACUCCGUGUAUGGAGUCAUGUUGUCUAAUCUUUGUUGCCAGUGGCUCUAAAGCCAGAACGUACAACAAGGGGGACAGGGGACACCCCUGUCUCGUGCCAUUUGAGAUACUAAACGGGUUUGAUAGAAAACCCGCGUUAAGUACCUGGGCUGUCGGGGCGCUAUAUAACGCUUUGGCCGCUGCUCUAAAUUCUCCUGGUACUCCAAAUUUUGUCAUGACUGCCUCCAGGAAAGCCCAG